AUAAACCGGAGGAAGGUGGGGAUGACGUCAAGUCAGCAUGGCCUUUAUGUCUGGGGCUACACACGUGCUACAAUGGCCGGUACAAACCGUCGCGAGCCCGCAAGGGGGAGCUAAUCGGAGAAAGCCGGUCUCAGUUCGGAUCGUAGGCUGCAAAGACGCCUGCGUGAAGUUGGAAUCGCUAGUAAUCGCGGAUCAGCACGCCGUGGUGAAUACGUUCCCGGGCCUUGUACACACCGCCCGUCACAUCACGAAAGCCGGUUGUACUAGAAGUCGCCACAUCAACCCGCAAGGGAGAGAGGCGCCUAAGGUAUGGUCGG
RNAcentral lists this ribosomal RNA (317 nucleotides) under uncultured Acidobacteriota bacterium. Its description in RNAcentral is "bacterial SSU rRNA". It matches the Rfam family "Bacterial small subunit ribosomal RNA", at positions 1158 to 1471 of the family's 1533-position model. The record is from RNAcentral. Lineage: Bacteria; Pseudomonadati; Acidobacteriota.